Molecule: ribosomal RNA, 256 nt
Filed under: uncultured bacterium
Lineage: Bacteria
Description: partial 16S ribosomal RNA
Rfam family: Bacterial small subunit ribosomal RNA
Source: RNAcentral
UACGUAGGGAGCAAGCGUUGUCCGGAAUUAUUGGGCGUAAAGAGCUUGUAGGCGGUUUGUCGCGUCUGCCGUGAAAAUCCGGGGCUCAACCCCGGGCUUGCGGUGGGUACGGGCAGACUAGAGUGUGGUAGGGGGAGAUCGGAAUUCCUGGUGUAGCGGUGAAAUGCGCAGAUAUCAGGAGGAACACCGGUGGCGAAGGCGGGAUCUCUGGGCCAUUACUGACGCUGAGGAGCGAAAGCGUGGGGGAGCGAACAGG